AUUGAACGCUGGCGGCAUGCCUAACACAUGCAAGUCGAACGGCAGCACGACCUAGCUUGCUAGGUUGGUGGCGAGUGGCGCACGGGUGAGUAAUGCGUAGGAAUAUACCUUAAAGUGGGGGACAACCUGGGGAAACUCAGGCUAAUACCGCAUGAGCUCUAAGGAGGAAAGCUGGGGACCUUUCGGGGCCUGGCGCUUUAAGAAUAGCUUACGUCCGAUUAGUUAGUUGGUGGGGUAAAGGCUUACCAAGACGAUGAUCGGUAGCUGGUCUGAGAGGAUGAGCAGCCACACUGGGACGGAGACACGGCCCAGACUUCUACGGGAGGCAGCAGUGGGGAAUAUUGGACAAUGGGGGAAACCCUGAUCCAGCGAUGCCGCGUGUGUGAAGAAGGCCUGCGGGUUGUAAAGCACUUUCGGUGGGGAGGAGGACUUAUAGGUUAAGAGCUAAUGAGUUGGACGUUACCCACAUAAGAAGCACCGGCUAACUCCGUGCCAGCCGCCGCAGUAA
This 508-nucleotide ribosomal RNA is filed under the name uncultured bacterium. Its description in RNAcentral is "partial 16S ribosomal RNA". It matches the Rfam family "Bacterial small subunit ribosomal RNA", at positions 30 to 523 of the family's 1533-position model. The record is from RNAcentral.